This 1085-nucleotide ribosomal RNA is filed under the name Limosilactobacillus fermentum. Its description in RNAcentral is "bacterial SSU rRNA". It matches the Rfam family "Bacterial small subunit ribosomal RNA", at positions 1 to 1069 of the family's 1533-position model. Lineage: Bacteria; Bacillati; Bacillota; Bacilli; Lactobacillales; Lactobacillaceae. The record is from RNAcentral.
CAUAAGCGAUGGGGGCUAUAAUGCAGUCGACGCGUUGGCCCAAUUGAUUGAUGGUGCUUGCACCUGAUUGAUUUUGGUCGCCAACGAGUGGCGGACGGGUGAGUAACACGUAGGUAACCUGCCCAGAAGCGGGGGACAACAUUUGGAAACAGAUGCUAAUACCGCAUAACAACGUUGUUCGCAUGAACAACGCUUAAAAGAUGGCUUCUCGCUAUCACUUCUGGAUGGACCUGCGGUGCAUUAGCUUGUUGGUGGGGUAACGGCCUACCAAGGCGAUGAUGCAUAGCCGAGUUGAGAGACUGAUCGGCCACAAUGGGACUGAGACACGGCCCAUACUCCUACGGGAGGCAGCAGUAGGGAAUCUUCCACAAUGGGCGCAAGCCUGAUGGAGCAACACCGCGUGAGUGAAGAAGGGUUUCGGCUCGUAAAGCUCUGUUGUUAAAGAAGAACACGUAUGAGAGUAACUGUUCAUACGUUGACGGUAUUUAACCAGAAAGUCACGGCUAACUACGUGCCAGCAGCCGCGGUAAUACGUAGGUGGCAAGCGUUAUCCGGAUUUAUUGGGCGUAAAGAGAGUGCAGGCGGUUUUCUAAGUCUGAUGUGAAAGCCUUCGGCUUAACCGGAGAAGUGCAUCGGAAACUGGAUAACUUGAGUGCAGAAGAGGGUAGUGGAACUCCAUGUGUAGCGGUGGAAUGCGUAGAUAUAUGGAAGAACACCAGUGGCGAAGGCGGCUACCUGGUCUGCAACUGACGCUGAGACUCGAAAGCAUGGGUAGCGAACAGGAUUAGAUACCCUGGUAGUCCAUGCCGUAACGAUGAGUGCUAGGUGUUGGAGGGUUUCCGCCCUUCAGUGCCGGAGCUAACGCAUUAAGCACUCCGCCUGGGGAGUACGACCGCAAGGUUGAAACUCAAAGGAAUUGACGGGGGGCCCGCACAAGCGGUGGAGCAUGUGGGUUUAAUUCGAAGCUACGCGAAAGAACCCUUACCAGGUCUUGACAUCUUUGCGCCCAACCCUAGAGAUAGGGCGUUUCCCUUCGGGAACGCAAAUGACAGGUGGUGCAUGGAUCGUCGUCAGCUCGUGUCGUG